This 567-nucleotide ribosomal RNA is filed under the name Vishniacozyma victoriae. RNAcentral describes it as "partial large subunit ribosomal RNA". It matches the Rfam family "Eukaryotic large subunit ribosomal RNA", at positions 99 to 655 of the family's 3401-position model. The record is from RNAcentral. Lineage: Eukaryota; Fungi; Basidiomycota; Tremellomycetes; Tremellales; Bulleribasidiaceae.
CGGGAUGAGCUUCAAAUUUAAAAUCUGGCGUCUUUCAGGCGUCCGAGUUGUAAUCUAUAGAGGCGUUUUCCGCGCCGGACCGCGUCCAAGUCUCUUGGAAUAGAGUAUCAAAGAGGGUGACAAUCCCGUACUUGACGCGACAACCGGUGCUCUGUGAUACGUUCUCAAUGAGUCGAGUUGUUUGGGAAUGCAGCUCUAAAUGGGUGGUAAAUUCCAUCUAAGGCUAAAUAUUGGCGAGAGACCGAUAGCGAACAAGUACCGUGAGGGAAAGAUGAAAAGCACUUUGGAAAGAGAGUUAAACAGCACGUGAAAUUGUUAAAAGGGAAACGAUUGAAGUCAGUCGUGUGAAAGGUAUUCAGCCGUCUCUGGCGGUGUAUUUGCCUUUCACGGGUCAACAUCAGUUUGAUCCGGUAGAAAAAGGCGGGAGGAAGGUGGCACCCUCGGGUGUGUUAUAGCCUCCUGUCAUAUGUGCCGGACCAGACUGAGGAACGCAGCUUGCCGCAAGGCCGGGGUUCGCCCACGUACAAGCUUAGGAUGUUGACAUAAUGGCUUUAAACGACCCGUCUU